RNAcentral lists this ribosomal RNA (443 nucleotides) under uncultured bacterium. Its description in RNAcentral is "SSU rRNA". It matches the Rfam family "Bacterial small subunit ribosomal RNA", at positions 26 to 518 of the family's 1533-position model. The record is from RNAcentral.
AGAGCGAACGCUGGCGGCAGGCCUAAUACAUGCAAGUCGAACGCACCUUCGGGUGAGUGGCGGACGGGUGAGUAACACGUGGGAACGUGCCUUUUGGUUCGGAAUAAUCCGGGGAAACCUGGCCUAAUACCGGAUGUGCCCUUCGGGGGAAAGAUUUAUCGCCAUUAGAGCGGCCCGCGUCUGAUUAGCUAGUUGGUGAGGUAACGGCCCACCAAGGCGACGAUCAGUAGCUGGUCUGAGAGGAUGAUCAGCCACACUGGGACUGAGACACGGCCCAGACUCCUACGGGAGGCAGCAGUAGGGAAUCUUGCGCAAUGGGCGAAAGCCUGACGCAGCCAUGCCGCGUGAAUGAUGAAGGUCUUAGGAUUGUAAAAUUCUUUCAGCGGGGAAGAUAAUGACUGUACCCGCAGAAGAAGCUCGGCUAACUUCGCGCCAGCAGCCGC